RNAcentral lists this ribosomal RNA (450 nucleotides) under uncultured bacterium. RNAcentral describes it as "partial 16S ribosomal RNA". It matches the Rfam family "Bacterial small subunit ribosomal RNA", at positions 354 to 796 of the family's 1533-position model. The record is from RNAcentral.
GUGGGGAAUAUUGGACAAUGGGCGAAAGCCUGAUCCAGCCAUGCCGCGUGUGUGAAGAAGGUCUUCGGAUUGUAAAGCACUUUAAGUUGGGAGGAAGGGCAUUAACCUAAUACGUUAGUGUUUUGACGUUACCGACAGAAUAAGCACCGGCUAACUUCGUGCCAGCAGCCGCGGUAAUACGAAGGGUGCAAGCGUUAAUCGGAAUUACUGGGCGUAAAGCGCGCGUAGGCGGUUUGGUUAGUUGGAUGUGAAAGCCCCGGGCUCAACCUGGGAACUGCAUCCAAUACUGCCAGGCUAGAGUACGGUAGAGGGGGGUAGAAUUCCACGUGUAGCGGUGAAAUGCGUAGAGAUGUGGAGGAAUACCAGUGGCGAAGGCGGCCCCCUGGAUCGAUACUGACGCUGAGGUGCGAAAGCGUGGGGAGCAAACAGGAUUAGAAACCCGGGUAGUCC